RNAcentral lists this transfer RNA (72 nucleotides) under Pedobacter sp. HDW13. RNAcentral's name for it is "tRNA-OTHER". It matches the Rfam family "tRNA". Rfam says of the family: Transfer RNA (tRNA) molecules are approximately 80 nucleotides in length. The record is from RNAcentral. Lineage: Bacteria; Pseudomonadati; Bacteroidota; Sphingobacteriia; Sphingobacteriales; Sphingobacteriaceae.
ACACUCUUAGCUCAAUGGAGAGAGCGGCCGCUGUCCGGUGGUAGGUUGUAGGUUCGAAUCCUUCAGGGUGUA